UACUGGGCGUAAAGGGAGCGUAGGCGGACAUUUAAGUCAGGGGUGAAAUCCCGGGGCUCAACCUCGGAAUUGCCUUUGAUACUGGGUGUCUUGAGUAUGAGAGAGGUGUGUGGAACUCCGAGUGUAGAGGUGAAAUUCGUAGAUAUUCGGAAGAACACCAGUGGCGAAGGCGACACACUGGCUCAUUACUGACGCUGAGGCUCGAAAGCGUGGGGAGCAAACAGGAUUAGAUACCCUGGUAGUCAAGGGCGAAUUCG
Molecule: ribosomal RNA, 257 nt
Filed under: uncultured Caulobacterales bacterium
Lineage: Bacteria; Pseudomonadati; Pseudomonadota; Alphaproteobacteria; Caulobacterales
Description: partial 16S ribosomal RNA
Rfam family: Bacterial small subunit ribosomal RNA
Source: RNAcentral